RNAcentral lists this non-coding RNA (45 nucleotides) under Trichobilharzia regenti. Lineage: Eukaryota; Metazoa; Platyhelminthes; Trematoda; Strigeidida; Schistosomatidae. The record is from RNAcentral.
GUUCAACUGAUGAGUCUAAAAUAGGACGAAAUAUUCUUCCUGGAU